UACGAGGGGGGCAAAUGUUGUUCGGAAUCACUGGGCGUAAAGGGAGCGUAGGCGGGCUUCUAAGUUAGGUGUUUAAUCCCAGGGCCCAACCCUGGUCAGGCACCUAAAACUGGGAGUCUUGAAUAGUGGAGAGGACGAUGGAAUUGGGGGUGUAGCGGUGGAAUGCGUAGAGAUCCCCAAGAACACCAGUUGCGAAGGCGGCUGACUGGACACAUAUUGACGCUGAGGCUCGAAAGCAUGGGGAGCAAACAGG
Molecule: ribosomal RNA, 253 nt
Filed under: uncultured bacterium
Lineage: Bacteria
Description: partial 16S ribosomal RNA
Rfam family: Bacterial small subunit ribosomal RNA
Source: RNAcentral